UACGGGGGGGGCAAGCGUUGUUCGGAAUUACUGGGCGUAAAGGGCUCGUAGGCGGCCAACUAAGUCGGAUGUGAAAUCCCCAGGCCCAACCUGGGAACUGCGUCUGAUACUGGAUGGCUUGAAUUCGGGAGAGGGGUGCAGAAUUCCAGGUGUAGCGGUGAAAUGCGUAGAUAUCAGGAGGAACACCGGUGGCGAAGGCGGUUCUCUGGGCAUUACCUGACGCUGAGGAGCGAAAGCAUGGGGAGCGAACAGG
RNAcentral lists this ribosomal RNA (253 nucleotides) under uncultured bacterium. RNAcentral's name for it is "partial 16S ribosomal RNA". It matches the Rfam family "Bacterial small subunit ribosomal RNA", at positions 524 to 776 of the family's 1533-position model. The record is from RNAcentral.